UACGGAGGGUGCAAACGUUUGCUCGGAAUCAUUGGGCGUAAAGCGCGUGUAGGCGGCCCGGUAAGUCCGCUGUGAAAGUCGGGGGCUCAACCCUCGGAUGCCGGUGGAUACUGUCGGGCUCGAGUACGGAAGAGGCGAGUGGAAUUCCUGGUGUAGCGGUGAAAUGCGCAGAUAUCAGGAGGAACACCAAUUGCGAAGGCAGCUCGCUGGGACGUUACUGACGCUGAGACGCGAAAGCGUGGGGAGCAAACAGG
Molecule: ribosomal RNA, 254 nt
Filed under: uncultured bacterium
Lineage: Bacteria
Description: partial 16S ribosomal RNA
Rfam family: Bacterial small subunit ribosomal RNA
Source: RNAcentral